Molecule: ribosomal RNA, 119 nt
Organism: Lepisosteus oculatus (spotted gar)
Lineage: Eukaryota; Metazoa; Chordata; Actinopteri; Semionotiformes; Lepisosteidae
Source: Ensembl
GCCAGUAGUCAUAUCACCCUGCAACUCACAACUGGCAACCCACUGAAGCUAAGCAGGUGUGAGCCUGGUCAGUACCUGGAUGGGAGACCUCCUGGGAAAAACUAAGGCUGCUGCUGGAA